GACGAACGCUGGCGGCGUGCUUAACACAUGCAAGUCGAACGGGCUAUACCAUGGAGCUUGCUCCGAGGUAUAGCUAGUGGCGGACGGGUGCGUAACGCGUGAACAAUCUGUCCCUGCGAGGGGAAUAACACUUAGAAAUAGGUGCUAAUACCGCAUAAGACCACGGUGUCGCAUGGCAUUGAGGUAAAAAGAGCAAUCUGCGCAGGGGUGAGUUCGCGUCCCAUUAGCUAGUUGGUGAGGUAACGGCCCACCAAGGCGACGAUGGGUAGCCGAUCUGAGAGGAUGACCGGCCACACUGGAACUGAGAAACGGUCCAGACUCCUACGGGAGGCAGCAGUGGGGAAUAUUGGGCAAUGGGCGAAAGCCUGACCCAGCAACGCCGCGUGAGGGAAGAAGGUUUUCGGAUCGUAAACCUCUGUCGCAGGGGACGAAACAAAUGACGGUACCCUGUGAGGAAGCUCCGGCUAACUACGUGCCAGCAGCCGCGGUAAUACGUAGGGAGCGAGCGUUGUCCGGAAUGACUGGGCGUAAAGGGCGCGUAGGUGGCCAGAUAAGUUAGGAGUGAAAGUCCUGCUUUCAAGGUGGGAAUUGCUUUUAAUACUGUAUGGCUUGAGUGUGGGAGAGGAUAGCGGAAUUCCCGGUGUAGCGGUGAAAUGCGUAGAGAUCGGGAGGAACACCAGUGGCGAAGGCGGCUAUCUGGACCAAGACUGACACUGAGGCGCGAAAGCGUGGGGAGCAAACAGGAUUAGAUACCCUGGUAGUCCACGCUGUAAACGAUGGAUGCUAGGUGUAGGAGGUAUCGACCCCUUCUGUGCCGCAGUUAACACAAUAAGCAUCCCGCCUGGGGAGUACGGCCGCAAGGUUGAAACUCAAAGGAAUUGACGGGGGCCCGCACAAGCAGCGGAGCAUGUGGUUUAAUUCGAAGCAACGCGAAGAACCUUACCAGGUCUUGACAUCGAUGUAAACCAGAAGAGAUUCUGGGUGCCUUCGGGCAACAGAAGACAGGUGGUGCAUGGUUGUCGUCAGCUCGUGUCGUGAGAUGUUGGGUUAAGUCCCGCAACGAGCGCAACCCUUGCGAUUGGUUGCUAACAGGUAAAGCUGAGAACUCCAGUAGGACUGCCGGGGACAACUCGGAGGAAGGUGGGGACGACGUCAAAUCAUCAUGCCCCUUAUGACCUGGGCUACACACGUGCUACAAUGGCCACUACAAAGAGAGGCGAAGUCGUAAGGCGGAGCAGAUCUGCAAAAAGUGGUCUCAGUUCAGAUUGAGGGCUGCAACCCGCCCUCAUGAAGUCGGAGUUGCUAGUAAUCGCGAAUCAGCAUGUCGCGGUGAAUACGUUCCCGGGCCUUGUACACACCGCCCGUCACACCAUGGGAGUUGGGAGCACCCGAAGUCGGUGAGGUAACCGUAAGGAGCCAGCCGCCGAAGGUGAGACCAAUGACUGGGGUG
This 1450-nucleotide ribosomal RNA is filed under the name uncultured Bacillota bacterium. Its description in RNAcentral is "bacterial SSU rRNA". It matches the Rfam family "Bacterial small subunit ribosomal RNA". Lineage: Bacteria; Bacillati; Bacillota. The record is from RNAcentral.